RNAcentral lists this unclassified non-coding RNA (554 nucleotides) under Hevea brasiliensis (rubber tree). The record is from RNAcentral. Lineage: Eukaryota; Viridiplantae; Streptophyta; Magnoliopsida; Malpighiales; Euphorbiaceae.
AAAUUAUGGUUAGCAAUCUUCAAGGAAAAAAAAUUAUAUAGCUAAAUUGAUUGAUUUGUUGUUGCAAGUUUUUUAAAAUGAGUUUCAAUGAUUAUAUUUGAAUCAGUCACAUUUGUGGUGAUUUUAGUUUGACACCAAAAUGGUUUUUGUUUGGAUGUUGGGAAUAGUCUUUCUAUUCUUCUAAGUUGACCAUUGUGGUGGUUACAUACAAUUUAUGUUAUGUUUGACAUCUUGAUCACCUUUGCAAUUUGUUUGGUUCUAGCAAACAUAGUGGGGCAUUUUUUUUUGUUCAGACAAAUAAAAAGUUAAGUCUACCUAUGAGUUAAAGCGUGAAAGACAGCACAGUGGAUAAUGACUAGGGAAAGGGGUUAAUCAAAAUGCUGAUUCCUUUUCUUUCUUGGUUAAAGUCACAUGCGAAUGAAGGGAAGGGGGAGGAAGUUUAUGCUUGAAUAAACAAAGAAAUGAACUGCUAGACGACUAAAUAGAAUAGUCGCUGGUGCAUUAUUGACAGGUGGGCAUAAAACAAAAUUGGAUAGAUCAAUAGACCAAGAUCU